AGUGAACGCUGGCGGUAGGCCUAACACAUGCAAGUCGAACGGCAGCACAGUAAGAGCUUGCUCUUACGGGUGGCGAGUGGCGGACGGGUGAGGAAUACAUCGGAAUCUACUUUUUCGUGGGGGAUAACGUAGGGAAACUUACGCUAAUACCGCAUACGACCUACGGGUGAAAGCAGGGGGUCUUCGGACCUUGCGCGAUUGAAUGAGCCGAUGUCGGAUUAGCUAGUUGGCGGGGUAAAGGCCCACCAAGGCGACGAUCCUUAGCUGGUCUGAGAGGAUGAUCAGCCACACUGGAACUGAGACACGGUCCAGACUCCUACGGGAGGCAGCAGUGGGGAAUAUUGGACAAUGGGCGCAAGCCUGAUCCAGCCAGACCGCGUGGGUGAAGAAGGCCUUCGGGUUGUAAAGCCCUUUUGUUGGGAAAGAAAAGCAGCAGGUUAAUACCCCGCUGUUCUGACGGUACCCAAAGAAUAAGCACCGGCUAACUUCGUG
This 492-nucleotide ribosomal RNA is filed under the name uncultured bacterium. Its description in RNAcentral is "partial 16S ribosomal RNA". It matches the Rfam family "Bacterial small subunit ribosomal RNA", at positions 29 to 507 of the family's 1533-position model. The record is from RNAcentral.